ACGGAAGGCAGCAGUGGGGAAUAUUGGGCAAUGGGCGAAAGCCUGACCCAGCAACGCCGCGUGAAUGAAGAAGGUCUUCGGAUUGUAAGCUUCUUUUAUGAGGGACGAAGGACGUGACGGUACCUCAUGAAUAAGACACGGCUAACUACGUGCCAGCAGCCGCGGUAAUACGUAGGUGGCAAGCGUUAUCCGGAUUUACUGGGUGUAAAGGGCGCGUAGGCGGGGAUGCAAGUCAGGUGUGAAAACUAUGGGCUUAACUCAGAACGUGCAUGUGAAACUGUAUCUCUUGAGUGCUGGAGAGGUAGAUGGAAUUCCUGGUGUAGCGGUGAAAUGCGUAGAGAUAAGGAAGAACACCAGUGGCGAAGGCGAUCUACUGGACAGUAACUGACGCUGAGGCGCGAAAGCGUGGGGAGCAAACAGGAUUAGAUACCCUGGUA
RNAcentral lists this ribosomal RNA (437 nucleotides) under uncultured Oscillospiraceae bacterium. RNAcentral describes it as "partial 16S ribosomal RNA". It matches the Rfam family "Bacterial small subunit ribosomal RNA", at positions 341 to 792 of the family's 1533-position model. The record is from RNAcentral. Lineage: Bacteria; Bacillati; Bacillota; Clostridia; Eubacteriales; Oscillospiraceae.